GACGAACGCUGGCGGCGUGCUUAACACAUGCAAGUCGAGGGGUAACGAGAGGAAAGCUUGCUUUCCUUGUCGACGACCGGCGCACGGGUGAGUAACGCGUAUCCAACCUGCCCCCAACUAGGGAAUAACCUUGCGAAAGUAAGACUAAUACCCUAUAAUUUCCUCAGAUGUCAUCUGACGAGGAAUAAAGAUUUAUCGGUUGUGGAUGGGGAUGCGUCUGAUUAGCUUGUUGGCGGGGUAACGGCCCACCAAGGCAACGAUCAGUAGGGGUUCUGGGAGGAAGGUCCCCAGCAUUGGAACUGAGACACGGUCCAAACUCCUACGGGAGGCAGCAGUGAGGAAUAUUGGUCAAUGGGCGGAAGCCUGAACCAGCCAAGUAGCGUGCAGGAUGACGGCCCUAUGGGUUGUAAACUGCUUUUAUACAGGAAUAAAGUUAGCCACGUGUGGUUAUUUGUAGGUACUGUAUGAAUAAGGACCGGCUAAUUCCGUGCCAGCAGCCGCCGUAA
This 506-nucleotide ribosomal RNA is filed under the name uncultured bacterium. RNAcentral's name for it is "partial 16S ribosomal RNA". It matches the Rfam family "Bacterial small subunit ribosomal RNA", at positions 28 to 523 of the family's 1533-position model. The record is from RNAcentral.